This 214-nucleotide ribosomal RNA is filed under the name uncultured bacterium. Its description in RNAcentral is "partial 16S ribosomal RNA". It matches the Rfam family "Bacterial small subunit ribosomal RNA", at positions 524 to 736 of the family's 1533-position model. The record is from RNAcentral.
UACGUAGGGUGCGAGCGUUAAUCGGAAUUACUGGGCGUAAAGCGUGCGCAGGCUGUUCUGUAAGUCAGAUGUGAAAUCCCCGAGCUCAACUUUGGGAACUGCGUUUGAAACUACAGGACUAGAAUAUGUCAGAGGGGGGUAGAAUUCCACGUGUAGCAGUGAAAUGCGUAGAGAUGUGGAGGAAUACCAAUGGCGAAGGCAGCCCCCUGGGAUA